GAAAAGGGGGCGAAAAAAAAAGCAGCCCGGCGCCCGUUUCCCCGGUCCCGAUAAUUCACCUUCCAUUUUGUGAAUCGCUUCUUGAUGAAAGAAAGUGCCGCUCAAAUGGGCCCCGGGGGGCUGCUGGGGGGCCAUCCGGGCCCUGGGGGUCCUGGGGGGCGCGGGCGGGGGGCCGCCGCCGGGGCUCCUUGGCCCCUUCGCGCAGGCAGCCCGGCUGGCGAAGGCUGGGAGAGCGCGAGAGCGGAGCGCUUCCCCCUCGCCCAUCACGGCCCCAUUCGCUAAAAUGGCUUCUCGAAAGGCUCCGCGAGCUGCUGGAAGGGCUUAACAAAGCCACCGGCGCUCGUCUCUGCCGAUUCAGCCCCCGGGUCGGGCACCCACGGCGGGCAGCCGGCCCGGACCCGGCUCGUUUGGUAGAAAAAGCGAUGCUCUUUCCAACCAGCCCGUUUGCGGGGCGGAGAAAAGCCGGGGGGGUCCCGAAAAAGCGGUCGGAAAGCGGCCUCCCCCCCCCUCACACACUCCCUGCCGUUCCCCCUGCUUAGCGCAAUCGCCUGUCUAACAAAGGCAGCGCGCAGCCAUUACAAGCCUCAUUCCCCGCGCCGAAGGGAGGGAAAGGGCGGAAAAAAAGCCCUUCGCGGGCCCCCAGCGGCCCGCGAAGGGCAUGAGCGGAGAGAGAUAAAGACUGGGGGGCGGAGGAGAAAGGUUUGGGGGUUCGGGCCCCCCCCCUCCGCGGAUUUUGCCCCCGCGUCGCUCUCCCUCCCCGUCUCUGCCCGUCUUUCUUCCUUUAGGUCUGCUAGGGUAACGCCAGCCAUAUUAAGGCGCACACAGCAAAGCCUACGGCGGCAGCCCAGGCGCGAGGAAGGGUCGACUCGGGGUCUGGCGGCGGACGGAGGGCGGCCAAAAGGACCUUUUCCGAGAGGGGAAAAGAAAAGGAGGCGGAAACGAAAGAACCCGCUGAGGCUGGCUGAGAUGGGGAGUAACGGGACUAAAUUUUAAAGACAGCGCCACCAAUAAAAAAAGAUCUCUGCGCUGAGCUUUCGAACAGAUUCUUAUUUGAAGGGAUUUUAUUUUGGCCCCAGAAAACUGGACAGGAAUUAGACUGACUUCAAGGAGAUCCUGAUUUUUCUGCUUAAAUCAUGACUUCUUUCUAAUACCCGCAUCCAUAAGAGUUUCACAUCUCCCUCCCCUGCAAGGAACCAGUUCUCUGAAUCUUACUAAUUAAUAUCCCCAUUCCGUCCCAGUCACUUCCCAAACAAGUGGAAACACAGCUUUGACGUUAGAACAGCACUGAAAAAAGGAACUUGUGACCGAUCCUCGCUCUUGCAACCAGCGCAGAAUCCUGAUGGUCACAUGAUCAAAAUUCAGACGCUUGACAACCAGCCUGGAUUUAUGACAGUUGCAGAGUCACGUGAUCACCACUUGCGACCUUCCCAGGUGGCUGCCGAAGACCAAAAUCAACGGGAGAGGCUGCAUUCACUUAACACUCAUAUGAUUUGCUUAACAAACAUAACAAAACUCAUAAAAUCAGGCCUGACUCACUGAA
This is a long non-coding RNA of Crotalus tigris (Tiger rattlesnake), 1540 nucleotides long. RefSeq lists it as uncharacterized. The transcript has 2 exons. NCBI's taxonomy places the organism in Eukaryota, Metazoa, Chordata, Lepidosauria, Squamata, Viperidae. The record is from RefSeq and is a predicted model, not a curated record.